CUGAACUUUGGAUUUGAAAUCAGCAAUGUGUCCAUGUCUGAAAAAGUUGAAUUCAGGAAUGAGACCUACACAGAGAUCCAGAAAUAUAUAAAUUCAUUUGUGUCCACGAUCCUGAAUAAAACAACAACUACUAACUUUAAUUUCAAUCAAAUCGUUUUCAAGGGAAACUCCACCGUGAUUGAGGCCAACGUAGAGUAUGUUUUCACAGACAGUGACAUCGGCAGCUUC
Long non-coding RNA from Cyprinus carpio (common carp), 228 nucleotides. RefSeq lists it as uncharacterized. Lineage: Eukaryota; Metazoa; Chordata; Actinopteri; Cypriniformes; Cyprinidae. The transcript has 3 exons. The record is from RefSeq and is a predicted model, not a curated record.